Molecule: non-coding RNA, 21 nt
Filed under: Caenorhabditis elegans
Lineage: Eukaryota; Metazoa; Nematoda; Chromadorea; Rhabditida; Rhabditidae
Source: RNAcentral
UGCAUACUACAAAAAUGCAUA